UGCAUGUGGCCCUGGAGCUAUGGAUAUGUGCUGGAGAGAUAUAAUGACUGUGUACCAAUGCCUAGUUUUGUUGCAAGUGUCAAAAAAAAGAAAUGAUGGAGAAGGAAAACCGAAGAAGUAUAUUGAAUGAUUUAGUUUUCAUUGCUGUCCACGAUGGUCGUUAUGUGAUCUUUAACAACUAUUACACUUAACCACUGCAAAGUACUCCAUCAAAGAGAGAAGAAAAAAGGGAUAAGGGAGGUAUGUCAUAUUAUUAACCAUUCUGAUGAAUCAUUAAAUGCCCCUGAUUACCAGUAAAUGCAUCACCAUUUCUAACUCUAUGAUUACAAACUGGCAAAACAGAGCACAGUGCACCACAACAUCAUGCAUGCUGUUUUUAUUCUAACUGAAUGAGUGAAUAUACCCAUAAGUCUUUACAGUAGAUAGUUAUUCUCAGUAGGUGAACAAAUUAACUUUUUAGUUGUUUUAGAAUCGUCUACACUCAUUCAUGAACUUUAUACAUUAUACCACACUACCCUGAUCAACAACUACCUCUGUCUGGCAUUACAGAACAACUCUGACUUUUAAGUAGAUGGUGAAACACAACAUAGUAUUUACUAAAACAUAUGGGGAGAUUACUAAAAGGUAAAAUGCCAGAAUCUGGAGACAGUGUUUGAAGAAUACAGUCUUAAAAAACAAUAGAAUUGUUUAAAUCCACAGCUAUUUUAAGGUCCCAUCACCUAAAGGUAAAUGCUUUGCAUUACUGGACAUGUACUUCAGGACUAGACUGUUUUUU
This is a non-coding RNA of Pelobates cultripes (western spadefoot toad), 775 nucleotides long. Lineage: Eukaryota; Metazoa; Chordata; Amphibia; Anura; Pelobatidae. The record is from the annotation of a GenBank genome assembly.